GACAGAGUGCCCGAGUGGUUAAGGGGAGUGACUUGAACCGCUAGGCCCUAAUGUGAUCCACAAGAUUGUGGUUCCCAUCAGCCUGACCAUCGAUAUCACUUGGUUUCGGCCUCGCAGGUUCGAAUCCUGUCUCUGUCG
RNAcentral lists this transfer RNA (138 nucleotides) under Metarhizium rileyi. RNAcentral describes it as "tRNA-Ser". It matches the Rfam family "tRNA". From Rfam's summary of the family: Transfer RNA (tRNA) molecules are approximately 80 nucleotides in length. Their secondary structure includes four short double-helical elements and three loops (D, anti-codon, and T loops). The record is from RNAcentral. Lineage: Eukaryota; Fungi; Ascomycota; Sordariomycetes; Hypocreales; Clavicipitaceae.